Molecule: unclassified non-coding RNA, 171 nt
Filed under: uncultured Aspergillus
Lineage: Eukaryota; Fungi; Ascomycota; Eurotiomycetes; Eurotiales; Aspergillaceae
Description: sequence contains ITS2
Source: RNAcentral
CUGCCCUCAAGCACGGCUUGUGUGUUGGGCCCCCGUCCCGGUUCUUUAAGCCGGGACGGGCCCGAAAGGCAGCGGCGGCACCGUGUCCGGUCCUCGAGUGUAUGGGGCUCUGUCACCCACUCGUGUAGGUCCGGCCGGCGGCCAGCCUCUUCAACCAAACUUUUAACCAGG